Molecule: long non-coding RNA, 2412 nt
Filed under: Catharus ustulatus (Swainson's thrush)
Lineage: Eukaryota; Metazoa; Chordata; Aves; Passeriformes; Turdidae
Description: lncRNA (ENSCUSG00005016246.1)
Source: RNAcentral
AGCUGCUUUGUGCCUCCUGGAGACCGGGAGAGGAAGGUUUAUGCCCUGGCAGGACAAGAAGUUCCCUGCACUGGCCCCAUAAUCCUUCCGGCAUGUGAUGGGAGGGAAGGGGAGUGUGUGUGGUGGGGCAUAUCUUAGCUGUUCUUGUUCUUGCCUAGCAAAUCCAGCCUGGGUAUGUCUGUGGAGCUCCUUGCUGAGAGCUCUCCCCUCCUUGGACAGUGCCUGGUGGCUUCUGGUGAGGAAGCAAAUUCCCACCACUGAGGAAUUAAAUACUUCAAAGCACUAAAAAGCAGAGGGAUCAUAUCUGUGUUCUCCAUGCUCUCGGUGGCAAAACAAAGCAAGGUGGAUAAGCCUUGCUGUCAGAGUCCAGAGGCUGGAAGUGAUGGUGGCUGCAGCCUGGCCCUGGCUUUAGCUGUGAGUACAUGUAUGGUAAGCUUCUGUGUGAAUGCAAGAAGGAAAUGAGAGGGAAUUAUGUGGGCAGGUGGAAUGAACAAAUUGGUGUUGGUGGAGGCAGGACAUGUGUGUGGGACUAAGGGGUUGGAAAGCGUAAAAAAAAUGGGAAGCUUCUCAGAGGAAAGCAACUGAGCAUCUGAGAACAGAAAAAACUAAUAACUUAGAGAAUUAAGAAAAUGUUUUUAUUUUCAACUGAGUUAGAGUAAAGUUCAUUCACAAAUAUGAAUCUUAACUUCUGUACCCCGGUUUCCCUCUCCAUAAAAUAUAAAUAAUAGCACUUUCGUUACUCACAGGAUGGUGUGAAAACAAGUUCAUUCAUUUCUGGGAAGCAUUUGUGCUAUAUGGGAAGUAUAGCAAAGGCUAUGAAUAUACAGCUAAAGCUGUGGGCUGGCAUUGAGGCACUUGGCACCUCCCCAGAUAUGCCAUGUAUCGUGCAAAAGCGCCAAGAAGAGUAGGAUAUGAAAACACAGGCCAAACUUAAUGAGUUCUGAAAUCAGGAACAUGUGACUCCCCAAAAUUAGAAGUGCAAAAGCUUUGAACUCUCAGAAAACACUGAGAGUUCUCCACACUUCUCAGAACACGGAGAGGGGCAUAUGUUUUCUUUAAAAAAAAAAAGGCAAUAAAGAGGUAGGAUACAGCAGGGAAACACUCUAAGAUAUAGUCCAUGGAAAUCAAGAAAUCUGUAUGCCAUUAAGAUAUAGUUCUACUUGGAAUAGGGAUGACCACUGUGAUUGACUGGAAGAAACAAAAUGAGCAAUAAAGAGAGAAGAAUAUGGGACCUAUAAAUCAGCAGGGUCAGUGCUGCAGGAACAGGUAGAAGAGCUGAUUGUGUGAGAAUGCAAGAAAAUGAUCCAAAAGGCUGAGACAGAAAAAUGAGAAGGGAAGAAUAUGUGGCCAUUAUAAAAUUUUUUUAUAAAUUUGGUGUGUAAGAAGCUGCAGGUGAGCUGAGGAUGUAGCCAUCAUCUUCCUGAGCAACAAGGUGACUACGUUGACUAAAAGGGGGAUCUUGCCUGGAAAAUGAAUUACAACUUGUACCUCAGUCUUCAGCAGGGAGACAUGUGAAGUCUGUCACACUUUCUAGAUGUUUUCCAAGAACAGGAAAAAAACUCAUAAAAAAUCAUUAACUCUAAGGGUACGAUAGAGUCAAACAAUUUACUAAACCCACCUAGAUAAAGAACAAUUUAAAAAGUGGGUUGUUUACAGCCCAGAUUUAUCCUAAAAAAUAAAUGUUAAAGGAAUAAAAUCAUCCAGGAAACUUAGCUGCUAUGAGAGAGAUACCAGAGGAGUUAAGAGGAGACAUUGCUGCAUCCCAGAUUUUUAAAGGGAAAUAAUAGAGGAAGAAGGGUCUAUCAGCUUCAGGAAGCACUUAAGACAGCUGAUUAUCAUUACUAGACUAGAUAAAACUGGACACCAAUUCUUCAUUAAAUAGAAGAAGGAAAAAUGGGGUUAAGAGGAAUAAAACAUUUAUUUUAGUAUCCUCAGAUUUCAAGAGUACAAGGAUUCAGUGCUCUGUGGGACACCACUGAGUAAGAUGGGAGAUAUGGGAUGGAGUUUCUUGAUACUGGGCUUGAUCAUCUAAUCCAGGUGAUGAAUAUGUAGCAAUUAUUUAGAGUAGGAGUGGAUAAUUGAGUGACAUGCUUAAAUAUUGAACUCAGUUGAUAGUGUACAUCUGUCACUUGGAAGAAAGAGCUCAAGGAAGCAAAGACAUCAAAGAAGGAGGCAUAAGGGAGAGCAAAGAGGAAGAAGGCUUUUGGAAGCAGGUAAUGUUUGUGCUGGUAUAUGGAAUUUAACCUGAAAAAAUGUAAGGCUGGGAAAAAGAAAGUCAAGGUAAAGGUGCCUUAAGGAGAUAGCUGGGGCAAGUCAGCAUAGGAAAAAUAUCUGAGGAUAGCAGCCAAGUUUCUGUUUGCACUCCUUUUUAAGGUUCAGGGAAUGAAAGAACUAGGCGUGAAUGUUGCAACA